ACGUGCCAUGGCCAUCGUCAUGGGCGCAAACAUACACCACAGUGUCCUGCUCCUUCCUGUUAUCCAAACUGUGUGCGAGACUGUUCACCGCUCAAAGCGGCAGUUGCUUCGCGGUCCUAACAAGCUAACACCACGUCAAUUGGUAAUGUGCGGCAGGCGAUACUCUACCCAUUGCAAUUACUCCCAAUUUUAGUCUGCUGACCCAGAAAUGCACAUGGCCAUGCGCACCGCCUAAGCCAUCAGGGGUUUGUGAACAGAACCUGGCAGCAAGUGGACACAACUAGGAAUUGAACCUAGCGAGAAAAAAAAAAAAAAAGAAACCGGAAAACUCCUGAAACCUCAGGGCCUCGGACAGCGUCAUUUCACAACAAGACCUUGUAUCCCAACGAGCGCAAACUUGGAGUGCCUCACCACCAAUGAACCAAGUUCGCAGCGUGAUGCUCCAGAUCAGUACUGUAGCGAAGAGGACGAUUCGUUAUUCCCAACACAGUACGCCGACUGCGGGUACGUAGGUACUGCGCCUGUACAAUCAUACUGGUCCUUUGCCGUUGCGUCGCUUCAGGCAUACAAACACAUUUGCAGGAAGCGCAGAUUGUUGUGCUAUGUCGUGCAUGAUUUG
Molecule: long non-coding RNA, 619 nt
Organism: Ornithodoros turicata
Lineage: Eukaryota; Metazoa; Arthropoda; Arachnida; Ixodida; Argasidae
Exons: 3
Source: RefSeq, a predicted model, not a curated record